GAGAUGAGUCUUCCCUGAUACUUUAAGUAUCCUAAAGGGUUGUUCGAGACUAGAACGUUGAUAGGCAGGGUGUGUAAGCGUUGUGAGGCGUUGAGCUAACCUGUACUAAUUGCCCGUGAGGCUUAACCAUACAACACCCAAGGGGUUU
Molecule: ribosomal RNA, 148 nt
Filed under: Vibrio rotiferianus
Lineage: Bacteria; Pseudomonadati; Pseudomonadota; Gammaproteobacteria; Vibrionales; Vibrionaceae
Description: partial 23S ribosomal RNA
Rfam family: Bacterial large subunit ribosomal RNA (bases 1-130)
Source: RNAcentral